UACGUAGGGGGCAAGCGUUGUCCGGAUUUAUUGGGCGUAAAGAGCGUGUAGGCGGCCAGGUAGGUCUGCUGUGAAAACUCGAGGCUUAACCUCGAGCUGUCGGCGGAAACCAUCUGGCUAGAGUCCGGAAGAGGAGAGUGGAAUUCCUGGUGUAGCGGUGAAAUGCGUAGAGAUCGGCAGGAACACCCAGGGGGAAACCAGUGGACUGGCACGGUGCUGACACUCAGGUGCGAAAGCGUGGGGAGCGAACCGG
Molecule: ribosomal RNA, 253 nt
Filed under: uncultured bacterium
Lineage: Bacteria
Description: partial 16S ribosomal RNA
Rfam family: Bacterial small subunit ribosomal RNA
Source: RNAcentral